RNAcentral lists this ribosomal RNA (486 nucleotides) under uncultured bacterium. Its description in RNAcentral is "partial 16S ribosomal RNA". It matches the Rfam family "Bacterial small subunit ribosomal RNA", at positions 30 to 507 of the family's 1533-position model. The record is from RNAcentral.
AUUGAACGCUGGCGGCAUGCCUUACACAUGCAAGUCGAACGGCAGCACGGGUGCUUGCACCUGGUGGCGAGUGGCGAACGGGUGAGUAAUACAUCGGAACAUGUCCUGUAGUGGGGGAUAGCCCGGCGAAAGCCGGAUUAAUACCGCAUACGAUCUACGGAUGAAAGCGGGGGACCUUCGGGCCUCGCGCUAUAGGGUUGGCCGAUGGCUGAUUAGCUAGUUGGUGGGGUAAAGGCCUACCAAGGCGACGAUCAGUAGCUGGUCUGAGAGGACGACCAGCCACACUGGGACUGAGACACGGCCCAGACUCCUACGGGAGGCAGCAGUGGGGAAUUUUGGACAAUGGGCCAAAGCCUGAUCCAGCAAUGCCGCGUGUGUGAAGAAGGCCUUCGGGUUGUAAAGCACUUUUGUCCGGAAAGAAAUCCUUGGCCCUAAUACGGUCGGGGGAUGACGGUACCGGAAGAAUAAGCACCGGCUAACUACGUG